Molecule: small nucleolar RNA, 143 nt
Filed under: Bombyx mori (domestic silkworm)
Lineage: Eukaryota; Metazoa; Arthropoda; Insecta; Lepidoptera; Bombycidae
Description: Bm_64
Source: RNAcentral
ACAAUCCCAUAAAGCCUUACUCUUUCCGUUCCGCAUAUGGUUGGAGUUACGAUUUAUAUGGGAUAUAUUGAAGGAUGUUCCCAAAGGAAACAUCACUUGUCAGUACACAGUGGGUGGUGUGUCGACAUGAGGAAUACAUCUUU